AAGCCCUCUUCUCACCUGUGAGCAGCAGCCCCGCCCAGGGGAUGCACCAUCUGCAGGGAGGGGCUGAAAUGGGCCCCAUGGUCUCUACUGCCUGUGUGUUCUCCUCUGUGGAGAUGAGCCUGGGAUCCAGAAACUUUCUGAGCACCGCUGUCAGCUGUGCUGUCCUUCCUCCUCCUGUGCUGAGCCUCUUCUGGGGGCAGGAGCACUUCUCAGGCUCAUGGGCGGGGUCUGUGCCCAGGACACUUCUCUGUCCCCUCCCCUCUCAGUCUUGCCUCCUUGUCCCUCCUUUCCCUUUAUUUUCUGUCUGUGUUUCAGGCCCCUGGGAAUUGCUGAGGCCUCUGCCUCCUUCAACAGUGAUUCUCUCACCCAACCUCUACACACACUAUGCCCAGACACACACACACACAUACACAUACACACACACAGAGAAACACACACACAGACACACACACACACAAAGAGAUACACACACACAGAGAAACACACACACAGACACACACACACAAAGAGACACACACAGACACACAGUCACACACACACCCUGUAGGUUGGGUGAGCACAGCCCUGGGCCCUCAGCGUCCUGCAGCCCAUGUCUCCAGGUCGGGUGCACAGUUGCUUCCCCUGCCCUCUCCCUUCCCCAUCUGACUCUUCCCUUCAGAUCAGGAGGUCGGGGCUCCGCAAGGACCCUGUCACAGGGACACCACCACUGAGCUUUGGGGAGAUACAGCAAGAAAGCAGGCAUCUGCAAGAAAGCCCUCACCAGGACUAAAUCAGCUGACACCUCCACCUUGGACUUCCCAGCUUCCAGAACUGUGAGAUAUAGAUUUCUAUUGCUUAAGUCACCAAGGCUAUGGUGUUUUUAAUAGCAGCCCAAGCCCAGGAAUACAUCAUCUGACUCACUGCUUUGAAUGAAGCUCUUCAGUUUCUCCAUCAACUUAGCUGGCAGCUCCUGUCCCCAGCAGCAUCAGAAGCCCCAACAAAAGAGCUCCAGGAGGGGCUCAACCUGCACAGGGGGCAGCCUCAAUGUCAGGUCCUGGAUGGCAGGGGCAGUCUGAUGGAAUGCGCGCUGUCCAGGUUCCUGCCCUCUCUGGAAGCUUGAUAAUGAGGAACCCUGAUGUGUCACUACGGAGGAGGCUGUGGGAAAAAGCUGUUUCUCAGGGCUGCCUGGAUCACAAGCUGGAGCUGGAGGACGUGCCUGGCAGGGGAGUGACCCCCAUGGGAAAGAGCAGGGUUCAGCAGAGUGACAGCAGCCGGGACCCAGAGAAGCCAGUGAGGUUUGACUCUUAGAAGCCAAAGACCAGCAGCUCUUCAGCAGAAGAUUUGGGCCCUGGGCUGGCACUGUCCUGCAGCAGGGGCAGGGUGGACAGGAAUGGCUGCAUAUCAGGCCUAAUUCCUUGUCAUCCUCUCAGGCAUUGCCACUGAAGAUGGAGAAUUUUGUUCAGAGGCCCAGCCUGGGCACAUGGGAGGAACCACCUUAUUAAAAUUAAUUUAAGAAAACAGUAUGCAUGCUUUAUUCUUCUCAAAUAAUUAUUAAUGUCAUGUUUUACAGUGUAUCUCUUAAAGGAGUGGUGAGAAUCAUCUACAUAAAGUGUGUUUUAGGUGGUCUUUUCUAUAAUUGCAGCUUUCACAUGUUCUUAGAGAAACCGUUUUCUUUGGGGACACACAGGCAGUAUCUCUGUGUUCAUUUCUACUGGGAAAUCUUUAUGCAGGGU
Piliocolobus tephrosceles (Ugandan red Colobus) is the source of this 1712-nucleotide long non-coding RNA. RefSeq lists it as uncharacterized. The record is from RefSeq and is a predicted model, not a curated record. The transcript has 5 exons. Lineage: Eukaryota; Metazoa; Chordata; Mammalia; Primates; Cercopithecidae.